GCGGACGUGGCGGAAUUGGUAGACGCAAGGGACUUAAAAUCCCUCGGCCUUGGCUAUACGGGUUCGAUUCCCGUCGUCCGCACCA
This 85-nucleotide transfer RNA is filed under the name Phytoamicus setariae. Its description in RNAcentral is "tRNA-Leu". It matches the Rfam family "tRNA". Rfam says of the family: Transfer RNA (tRNA) molecules are approximately 80 nucleotides in length. The record is from RNAcentral. Lineage: Bacteria; Pseudomonadati; Pseudomonadota; Alphaproteobacteria; Hyphomicrobiales; Rhizobiaceae.